Molecule: ribosomal RNA, 2152 nt
Filed under: human gut metagenome
Description: bacterial LSU rRNA
Rfam family: Bacterial large subunit ribosomal RNA
Source: RNAcentral
UGUCUGAAUAUGGGGGGACCAUCCUCCAAGGCUAAAUACUCCUGACUGACCGAUAGUGAACCAGUACCGUGAGGGAAAGGCGAAAAGAACCCCGGCGAGGGGAGUGAAAAAGAACCUGAAACCGUGUACGUACAAGCAGUGGGAGCCUCUUAAUGGGGUGACUGCGUACCUUUUGUAUAAUGGGUCAGCGACUUAUAUUCUGUAGCAAGGUUAACCGAAUAGGGGAGCCGAAGGGAAACCGAGUCUUAACUGGGCGUUAAGUUGCAGGGUAUAGACCCGAAACCCGGUGAUCUAGCCAUGGGCAGGUUGAAGGUUGGGUAACACUAACUGGAGGACCGAACCGACUAAUGUUGAAAAAUUAGCGGAUGACUUGUGGCUGGGGGUGAAAGGCCAAUCAAACCGGGAGAUAGCUGGUUCUCCCCGAAAGCUAUUUAGGUAGCGCCUCGUGAAUUCAUCUCCGGGGGUAGAGCACUGUUUCGGCAAGGGGGUCAUCCCGACUUACCAACCCGAUGCAAACUGCGAAUACCGGAGAAUGUUAUCACGGGAGACACACGGCGGGUGCUAACGUCCGUCGUGAAGAGGGAAACAACCCAGACCGCCAGCUAAGGUCCCAAAGUCAUGGUUAAGUGGGAAACGAUGUGGGAAGGCCCAGACAGCCAGGAUGUUGGCUUAGAAGCAGCCAUCAUUUAAAGAAAGCGUAAUAGCUCACUGGUCGAGUCGGCCUGCGCGGAAGAUGUAACGGGGCUAAACCAUGCACCGAAGCUGCGGCAGCGACACUAUGUGUUGUUGGGUAGGGGAGCGUUCUGUAAGCCUGUGAAGGUGUACUGUGAGGUAUGCUGGAGGUAUCAGAAGUGCGAAUGCUGACAUAAGUAACGAUAAAGCGGGUGAAAAGCCCGCUCGCCGGAAGACCAAGGGUUCCUGUCCAACGUUAAUCGGGGCAGGGUGAGUCGACCCCUAAGGCGAGGCCGAAAGGCGUAGUCGAUGGGAAACAGGUUAAUAUUCCUGUACUUGGUGUUACUGCGAAGGGGGGACGGAGAAGGCUAUGUUGGCCGGGCGACGGUUGUCCCGGUUUAAGCGUGUAGGCUGGUUUUCCAGGCAAAUCCGGAAAACUAAGGCUGAGGCGUGAUGACGAGGCACUACGGUGCUGAAGCAACAAAUGCCCUGCUUCCAGGAAAAGCCUCUAAGCAUCAGGUAACAUCAAAUCGUACCCCAAACCGACACAGGUGGUCAGGUAGAGAAUACCAAGGCGCUUGAGAGAACUCGGGUGAAGGAACUAGGCAAAAUGGUGCCGUAACUUCGGGAGAAGGCACGCUGAUAUGUAGGUGAAGUCCCUCGCGGAUGGAGCUGAAAUCAGUCGAAGAUACCAGCUGGCUGCAACUGUUUAUUAAAAACACAGCACUGUGCAAACACGAAAGUGGACGUAUACGGUGUGACGCCUGCCCGGUGCCGGAAGGUUAAUUGAUGGGGUUAGCGGUAACGCGAAGCUCUUGAUCGAAGCCCCGGUAAACGGCGGCCGUAACUAUAACGGUCCUAAGGUAGCGAAAUUCCUUGUCGGGUAAGUUCCGACCUGCACGAAUGGCGUAAUGAUGGCCAGGCUGUCUCCACCCGAGACUCAGUGAAAUUGAACUCGCUGUGAAGAUGCAGUGUACCCGCGGCAAGACGGAAAGACCCCGUGAACCUUUACUAUAGCUUGACACUGAACAUUGAGCCUUGAUGUGUAGGAUAGGUGGGAGGCUUUGAAGUGUGGACGCCAGUCUGCAUGGAGCCGGCCUUGAAAUACCACCCUUUAAUGUUUGAUGUUCUAACGUUGGCCCCUGAUCGGGGUUGCGGACAGUGUCUGGUGGGUAGUUUGACUGGGGCGGUCUCCUCCUAAAGAGUAACGGAGGAGCACGAAGGUUGGCUAAUCCUGGUCGGACAUCAGGAGGUUAGUGCAAUGGCAUAAGCCAGCUUGACUGCGAGCGUGACGGCGCGAGCAGGUGCGAAAGCAGGUCAUAGUGAUCCGGUGGUUCUGAAUGGAAGGGCCAUCGCUCAACGGAUAAAAGGUACUCCGGGGAUAACAGGCUGAUACCGCCCAAGAGUUCAUAUCGACGGCGGUGUUUGGCACCUCGAUGUCGGCUCAUCACAUCCUGGGGCUGAAGUAGGUCCCAAGGGU